GACAGAGGGGGCAAGCGUUGCUCGGAAUCACUGGGCGUAAAGGGCGCGUAGGCGGGAUGGCAAGUCAGUCGUGAAAUCUCUCGGCUCAACCGAGAAACGUCGGCUGAUACUGCCGUUCUUGAGGGAUGCAGAGGAGACUGGAAUUCCCGGUGUAGCGGUGAAAUGCGUAGAUAUCGGAAGGAACAUCAGUGGCGAAAGCGGCUUCCUGGACCAGAACUGACGAUCAGGCACGAAAGCGUGGGGAGCAAACAGG
RNAcentral lists this ribosomal RNA (253 nucleotides) under uncultured bacterium. Its description in RNAcentral is "partial 16S ribosomal RNA". It matches the Rfam family "Bacterial small subunit ribosomal RNA", at positions 524 to 776 of the family's 1533-position model. The record is from RNAcentral.